RNAcentral lists this ribosomal RNA (300 nucleotides) under uncultured Fodinicurvata sp. RNAcentral's name for it is "bacterial SSU rRNA". It matches the Rfam family "Bacterial small subunit ribosomal RNA", at positions 496 to 795 of the family's 1533-position model. Lineage: Bacteria; Pseudomonadati; Pseudomonadota; Alphaproteobacteria; Rhodospirillales; Rhodovibrionaceae. The record is from RNAcentral.
GCUAACUCCGUGCCAGCAGCCGCGGUAAUACGGAGGGGGCAAGCGUUGUUCGGAAUUACUGGGCGUAAAGGGCGCGUAGGCGGAUAUUCAAGUCAGAGGUGAAAGCCCCGGGCUCAACCUGGGAACUGCCUUUGAAACUGGAUGUCUGGAGUUCGGGAGAGGUGAGCGGAAUACCCAGUGUAGAGGUGAAAUUCGUAGAUAUUGGGUAGAACACCGGUGGCGAAGGCGGCUCACUGGCCCGCAACUGACGCUGAGGCGCGAAAGCGUGGGGAGCAAACAGGAUUAGAUACCCCUGUAGUC